Non-coding RNA from Apis mellifera (honey bee), 77 nucleotides. The record is from RefSeq and is marked provisional. NCBI's taxonomy places the organism in Eukaryota, Metazoa, Arthropoda, Insecta, Hymenoptera, Apidae.
AGUUGCUGUGAUGACAAUGGUGAUGACAACGUGGAUAGAAACGUUAACGUCAACACCAAUGCCAACAAUAACGACUA